Pelobates cultripes (western spadefoot toad) is the source of this 357-nucleotide non-coding RNA. Lineage: Eukaryota; Metazoa; Chordata; Amphibia; Anura; Pelobatidae. The record is from the annotation of a GenBank genome assembly.
ACUGAACCCCCACAUUUGACCUAUCCCCAGAUAGCUUGGAUCUGAACGCUCAAUAUAGCCGAACAGCGCUCAGAUCCCACGAUAGCAAGGGCCGAUGAGAGAUUGAGGAGGGACAAAGCAGCCAGUUUCAACUGGUCUGACAGUGUCCCUGGGACAACACCUUGCUGGAGAACAAUGGGACUGGUAACGGGGUAGGGAAAGAGGCACACCUUCCCAUGGAUUCAAAGGGGCAGAAAAAGUGUCCCAAAAUCCAAUAAGCCCAAACAGACUUUUAAAUGGCAAUACUUCCCAGGAGCCAUAGUCACAAGGGAAGAGGCUGGCAAUUAGUCCUCUCCAGGCAUAAGUGGCGAAGGACAC